This 367-nucleotide ribosomal RNA is filed under the name uncultured alga. RNAcentral's name for it is "bacterial LSU rRNA". It matches the Rfam family "Bacterial large subunit ribosomal RNA", at positions 2098 to 2465 of the family's 2925-position model. The record is from RNAcentral.
CCUUUACUAUAGCUUCGCCUUGGCGUUAGCGACCGUAUGUGUAGGAUAGGUGGGAGGCUAUGAAACCGGGCGCCAGCUCUGGUGGAGCCAUCCUUGAAAUACCACCUUACUGUCGUUGACGUCUAACCGAGGGCCGUUAUCCGGUCCCGGGACAUGGCGUGGUGGGUUAGUUUGACUGGGGCGGUCGCCUCCUAAAGCGUAACGGAGGCGCGCGAUGUGGGCUCAGACCGGUCGGAAAUCCGCGGUCGUCGAGUGCAAUGGCAUAAGCCCGCCUGACUGCAGACUGGACAAGUCGAGCAGAGACGAAAGUCGGCCAUAGUGAUCGGUGUCCCGCGUGGAAGGGCCAUCGCUCAACGGAUAAAAGGUA